Molecule: ribosomal RNA, 254 nt
Filed under: uncultured bacterium
Lineage: Bacteria
Description: partial 16S ribosomal RNA
Rfam family: Bacterial small subunit ribosomal RNA
Source: RNAcentral
UACGGGGGGAGCAAGCGUUGUUCGGAUUUACUGGGCGUAAAGGGCGCGUAGGCGGCCUGUGCAAGUCAGUUGUGAAAUCUCCGAGCUUAACUCGGAACGGUCAACUGAUACUGCUCGGCUAGAGUGCGGAAGGGGCAACUGGAAUUCUCGGUGUAGCGGUGAAAUGCGUAGAUAUCGAGAGGAACACCUGCGGCGAAGGCGGGUAGCUGGGCCGACACUGACGCUGAGGCGCGAAAGCCAGGGGAGCGAACGGG